UCCUGGCUCAGGACGAACGCUGGCGGCGUGCCUAAUACAUGCAAGUAGAACGCUGAAGAGAGGAGCUUGCUCUUCUUGGAUGAGUUGCGAACGGGUGAGUAACGCGUAGGUAACCUGCCUUGUAGCGGGGGAUAACUAUUGGAAACGAUAGCUAAUACCGCAUAACAAUGGAUGACACAUGUCAUUUAUUUGAAAGGGGCAAUUGCUCCACUACAAGAUGGACCUGCGUUGUAUUAGCUAGUAGGUGAGGUAACGGCUCACCUAGGCGACGAUACAUAGCCGACCUGAGAGGGUGAUCGGCCACACUGGGACUGAGACACGGCCCAGACUCCUACGGGAGGCAGCAGUAGGGAAUCUUCGGCAAUGGGGGCAACCCUGACCGAGCAACGCCGCGUGAGUGAAGAAGGUUUUCGGAUCGUAAAGCUCUGUUGUAAGUCAAGAACGAGUGUGAGAGUGGAAAGUUCACACUGUGACGGUAGCUUACCAGAAAGGGACGGCUAACUACGUGCCAGCAGCCGCGGUAAUACGUAGGUCCCGAGCGUUGUCCGGAUUUAUUGGGCGUAAAGCGAGCGCAGGCGGUUUGAUAAGUCUGAAGUUAAAGGCUGUGGCUCAACCAUAGUUCGCUUUGGAAACUGUCAAACUUGAGUGCAGAAGGGGAGAGUGGAAUUCCAUGUGUAGCGGUGAAAUGCGUAGAUAUAUGGAGGAACACCGGUGGCGAAAGCGGCUCUCUGGUCUGUAACUGACGCUGAGGCUCGAAAGCGUGGGGAGCGAACAGGAUUAGAUACCCUGGUAGUCCACGCCGUAAACGAUGAGUGCUAGGUGUUGGAUCCUUUCCGGGAUUCAGUGCCGCAGCUAACGCAUUAAGCACUCCGCCUGGGGAGUACGACCGCAAGGUUGAAACUCAAAGGAAUUGACGGGGGCCCGCACAAGCGGUGGAGCAUGUGGUUUAAUUCGAAGCAACGCGAAGAACCUUACCAGGUCUUGACAUCCCGAUGCUAUUUCUAGAGAUAGAAAGUUACUUCGGUACAUCGGUGACAGGUGGUGCAUGGUUGUCGUCAGCUCGUGUCGUGAGAUGUUGGGUUAAGUCCCGCAACGAGCGCAACCCCUAUUGUUAGUUGCCAUCAUUCAGUUGGGCACUCUAGCGAGACUGCCGGUAAUAAACCGGA
Molecule: ribosomal RNA, 1166 nt
Filed under: Streptococcus salivarius
Lineage: Bacteria; Bacillati; Bacillota; Bacilli; Lactobacillales; Streptococcaceae
Description: bacterial SSU rRNA
Rfam family: Bacterial small subunit ribosomal RNA
Source: RNAcentral